AACGAACGCUGGCGGCAUGCCUAACACAUGCAAGUCGAACGAAGCCUUCGGGCUUAGUGGCGCACGGGUGCGUAACGCGUGGGAACCUACCAUCAGGUUCGGAAUAACAGUUAGAAAUGACUGCUAAUACCGGAUAAUGUCUUCGGAUCAAAGAUUUAUCGCCUUUUGAUGGGCCCGCGUAAGAUUAGGUAGUUGGUGGGGUAAAGGCCUACCAAGCCGACGAUCUUUAGCUGGUCUGAGAGGAUGAUCAGCCACACUGGGACUGAGACACGGCCCAGACUCCUACGGGAGGCAGCAGUGGGGAAUAUUGGACAAUGGGCGAAAGCCUGAUCCAGCAAUGCCGCGUGAGUGAUGAAGGCCUUAGGGUUGUAAAGCUCUUUUACUGGGGAUGAUAAUGACAGUACCCAGAGAAUAAGCUCCGGCUAACUCCGUGCCAGC
This 438-nucleotide ribosomal RNA is filed under the name uncultured bacterium. Its description in RNAcentral is "bacterial SSU rRNA". It matches the Rfam family "Bacterial small subunit ribosomal RNA", at positions 29 to 512 of the family's 1533-position model. The record is from RNAcentral.